UUGGUUGUGCACCUGUCUCAUAAUAUCCAAAUUACGGUAGAGGCAAGCGUGUAUGUGAACUACCGGAACUGUGUUGUAGACACGUCGUCGCAAAAUCAUCUUCUGGAAUAUUGAUUUUUGAAAUUGUGUUUCUUCUAAGUAAGAAAAUAUACAUAUAGUAUGGCGACACUCCAUUUCACGAAUUGUUGCAAAGUGACCAUGAAUACCAAGUUCACCAGGACGGAACACAAACCUUGUUACAUGCUGGAGCUGUGGAGCUGACCCGAGUCUCUAUUGAACCAGUGUCUGAAGUCAAAUCUACCGAUCCAUCAAUAAGUGCGAAGUCGAUGUACAAUUAUUGUCAGCGGAACAUGAUGUGUAUUAAAUUGCCGGAACACAAGAUGCUAUCAAUAGCCGGAUUUAUGCGGUCUUAAUUCUACAAAUAAUCGCACGCGGAUAUUUAUUAGGAUUUAUAUCACUGGAUCGCCGGAAUUAAUUAAAUUUGCCAACUGUGUUUCUUAUACAACAAACGAGUAAUUCUCGAACGAUAUUACAUACUUAAAUAUAAUUAAGCCCAAGCAUUAUAUACGGUAUUAUAUUAUAUUAUAUUAUAUUAAACUAGAAUCUUUAUAUUCUAUUUAUAUUACGUUUAUAUAGUUCUGAUGUAACA
This is a long non-coding RNA of Anneissia japonica, 649 nucleotides long. RefSeq lists it as uncharacterized. Lineage: Eukaryota; Metazoa; Echinodermata; Crinoidea; Comatulida; Comatulidae. The record is from RefSeq and is a predicted model, not a curated record. The transcript has 3 exons.